UACGUAGGGGGCGAGCGUUGUCCGGAUUUAUUGGGCGUAAAGAGCUCGUAGGCGGUUUGGUAAGUCGGAUGUGAAAUCUCCAGGCUCAACCUGGAGGGGUCAUUCGAGACUGCCAUGACUAGAGUUCGGUAGAGGAAGUCGGAAUUCUCAGUGUAGCGGUGAAAUGCGUAGAUAUUGGGAAGAACACCAGUGGCGAAAGCGGACUUCUGGGUUGUUACUGACGCUGAGGUACGAAAGCGUGGGGAGCAAACGGG
This 254-nucleotide ribosomal RNA is filed under the name uncultured bacterium. Its description in RNAcentral is "partial 16S ribosomal RNA". It matches the Rfam family "Bacterial small subunit ribosomal RNA", at positions 524 to 776 of the family's 1533-position model. The record is from RNAcentral.